This 252-nucleotide ribosomal RNA is filed under the name uncultured bacterium. Its description in RNAcentral is "partial 16S ribosomal RNA". It matches the Rfam family "Bacterial small subunit ribosomal RNA", at positions 524 to 775 of the family's 1533-position model. The record is from RNAcentral.
UACAUGGGGUGCAAACGUUGCUCGGAAUUAUUGGGCGUAAAGCGCACGUAGGGGGUUCGUUAAGUCGGAUGUGAAAGCCCUCGGCUCAACUGAGGAAGUGCACCCGAAACUGGCGAGCUUGAGUACGAAAGAGGAUCGCGGAAUUCCCGGUGUAGAGGUGAAAUUCGUAGAUAUCGGGAGGAACACCGGUGGCGAAGGCGGCGAUCUGGGUCGAUACUGACGCUGAGGUGCGAAAGCGUGGGGAGCAACAGG